UUGGCGAACGGGUGAGUAACGCGUGAAUAACCUGACUCAAAGAAGGGGGAGUAACAACGGGAAACUGUUGCUAAUACCGCAUGAGACCACAACACCGCAUGAUGAAGGGGUCAAAGAUUUAUCGCUUUGAGAGGGGUUCGCGUCCCAUUAGGUAGUUGGAGGGGUAACGGCCCACCAAGCCAACGAUGGGUAGCCGAGCUGAGAGGCUGAUCGGCCACACUGGAACUGAGACACGGUCCAG
RNAcentral lists this ribosomal RNA (241 nucleotides) under uncultured bacterium. RNAcentral's name for it is "partial 16S ribosomal RNA". It matches the Rfam family "Bacterial small subunit ribosomal RNA", at positions 95 to 334 of the family's 1533-position model. The record is from RNAcentral.